AGCCGACUAACAUGCUACCAGAGCCUGUCCACCCUUCUUCAAAUAAUGGUGGCCACAGAGUGCAUCUGCUCUGGGGGACCCAUCGCUCAUAUACCCUCCCAUAAGAGCAGGAAAGGGGAUUCAUAAAGACGUUCUUCUGAUGGGGAAUGCUCUACGAGGCCGCCUUCACAUGGUGAGUAGUGACCGUGACACCUCUGCAGCGUCCCUGGUCACUUGUAGCCCCUGAAAGGGUCAUCGGGAGCAGAUCACUUCUUUUCUUCAGGGCUGGAGAAAGUACCUCCGUGCAUUUUCCAGUGUGGAAGAUGAUCAAAGUAUGACAUUUCUUCUACCCCAGAGGCUGGCAUUUCUGCAGGCACAAAUGAGCUUGGUUUUCAAGCACUGCUCUUUGAACACAAGGAAUUCCUUUAAUGAUCACGCCGGACUAUAUAGACUUUGGAAUCAGACUCUUUGAAUUCCAGCUCUGCCAUUUACCAACUUUGACACUUUGGGUUUCCUGUUUGAAGGAGGAUUGGUGACUUCCCUUCCUUCAGACAAGCAAUGAUAACACAGUUGUGUUCCCUUGUGUGAGUCUGGGGUGACGUUGGCUCCUUGAGAAAUGAAAACUUUAUCAUAAGAAUCUGUGAAAAUGGGGAAAAUGGGAAAAGGAGGACAGAUUCAAAAUUGGAGGAAAACAGGAAAAUCUCUCUUCAUCUUUUCUAAUUGUUCUUUUAAUGAAAUCAGUACUGCCCUUUGGCAUUAAUGAUCGUAUGCGAAAGACAACGUCUCAUUCUGUCACCCAGGCUGGAGUGCAGUGGCACAAUUAUAGCUCACUGCAGCCUCAAACACCUGGGCUCAAGCAAUCCUUCCACCUCUGCCUCCUGAGUAAUUGGGACUACAGGGUUUUGGAAAUCUGGAUUGUAGCAGGGCAUUGUAAGUUAAAAAAUCAUCUUCCCAUUCUGUUCUUUGCAAAGAUAUUUCUGUUCCUUAAAUUUGUUGAGGGUAAGAGAUUGCAGAUUGCUUCUGUGGACUUCUUGAAGGUGGAUCUGCCUGUUGGUGGAGAACCCUAGACUGCAUGCAGCCAUGCACAUGAUCUGGAGACACAGCAGGUUGUACCAGAAGCAGGGCUGAGGAGGCCUUAGGAAACUUAAAAUCAUGGCGGAAGGCAAAGGGGAAACAGGUCAUCCUCAGCAUUUAUACUCUCUCUCCUUUUGUGCCCCCAUGGACCAAGUUAAGAAGGUGUAGGCUUCAAAUCUUAAGAUCGGUCACCACAAAAUUCAAAAAGACAAGGUCUUUGUCUGUUGCUCAGGAUGGAGUGUAGUGGUGCCAUAGCACACUGUAAUCUUGAAUUUCUGGACUACUGGCAUACACCACCAUGCUUAGGUUCGGGCCACAACAUCCGUGACUUUACCGGUUUUGGUCUCUUCCUUGUAACUUUCGGCUCCAGGAUGCUGCGCAGCUCCUCUCUGCACUAUCUAUCAGAACGUUGCUCUGCGUGCUUGAAAGUUUCGCCAAACAGAAGUACACAAAAACAAACAGAGGCGAAACACAAAUCCCCUCAGCCCUGGAGGAAAAGGCCUUGAAGCUCUUCCAGUGCAGAGGCCACGCAGAGGACAUGCUCCUACCUGUGCACAUCGGCCACGCCUGGGGUGCCUCCUGGAGUCCAGGCUGCUGGCGAUGGAAUCCAUCAUGUUGCUGAUGUCACUACUCUCAACUCCUGAUGGCAUCAGAACACAGGCAGCAUCAAGAUCAGGCUCAAGAUGCAGGAUUUUAUCAUCCAAAUCAGGCCCACAUAUGGAUGAAACCCUUCAGGUAUUCUGCACAUCUCUCAGGAAACCCAGAUGAAAUUGAGUGCCUGCUGCCCACAUCAGCAACCCAGACAUCCCACUUGAUUCUGCUUCUGGAGCCUAAGAUGGGAAAAUGGCAGGUGUCGCAGGUUGCAGGGGAAGGUCGGAGACCAGUUGAGGGCCCCGGAGUCUGUCUGGAAAGAGUUUUCCAUCCAGCCCGUCUCGGUUUCCGCAUCCGUGUGAGUCCUUUAUGACGUCGGGAAUGCCAAGGUCUGAGUCCUUUAUGAUGUUCAGGGUGCCCCGGUCUCACCCCGGGAGCCUCCUCGCUCCGGCCUGCUCCUGGCUACCCGGUGGGCGGCUCUGGCCCCAGCGACCCGCUACUGUUUCUCCAUGCGCUGCCACUUCGCAAAGGCACAUCUCUAGGUCAGUGGUCAGCUGCAGCCAGGGCGCUGCAACUCGCUCCAGGACUCGGGAAUCAGGGCCUUGGUGGGCCUCGCAGAGUGCUGGGUGUGUCGCCUGCGGGCUCCUCUUUUGGAGAAAGGAGGGAGGGAAAGGCCUUGUGAGACGACUCCAGGAGCGACCAGCGACCCCCACAAGGCCCAAGUCCUCCCAGCGCACUCAGAAACAGUCACUUAAAUGGCAAUAAGGUUGAGAAAGACUCUCCCGUGCCCCCGUGCUGGUGUAGUGGCUGUGAUUCAGUCCUUUCACCACCGCAUCCCGGGUUCGAUUACCGGUCAGGGAGUUGUUUUGCACUGACUGCCCACCCGCAGUAAUCUUUCUUUACUCCGCUGUCAGCCGGCCUGCUCCAAGAGCCAGAGGCAGAAGAGUCUCCCUGCAAGGUGCAAACCCUGGCGAAGGAGGGCAAGUCCUGGUGGACGGCCUCUCAUGACACACCCUCUUAUUUAUCUCCGUGUCCACCAUUCGCAGAAGGGGCUUUAGAGAGCGACUGAGCGUCUCGCUCAGGUGUACACCACCGUGCAGAGAUGGCAGCUCUCCUGGAGGUGUACCCAAGAAGCCCACCAUCUUUGCCGCCUCCGCCAUCCCAGAGGCGCCGAUUGGGCUGAGCUGCAAAUAACUAAGAGAGAGAGAGGCCAAGCCAAGUCGUGGCGUUUGUGUGCGGCACACGUCGUCAGCUGACACAGGCGGUCAGCUGAGCCUCCUCACCUCAGUUCGCAGCUAACAUGCUUCUUAGGCCUUCGGAAGAGGCGACAGGAGGCGAUGGCCGCGAGGUUGGGAGGGGGGUGAGCGGCGGGUGAGGUCCUCCAGGACCGCCCAUUUAUUGACUGGGUGGUACAGGAGGGCGAUGUUCGCUUACCCAACAACGACAGCAGGUGGAGUAGGCACUAAUGGAAAACUGUGGCCGGUGCCCUAAGCAGAAGGCAGGUGUAAAAAUCACUAGGACAUCAAAGGGAUAGUACCACAGUCAAAUCCCGCAAUGUCUGUCUACACUCUACCAAGCAAUUGUGCACCCUCCCCCUUUUCCAUUCAGUACUCCCAAGAAGGGUUGGGACGAACCCUGUGUCCACUGUAAAGCUCAGGGGAGAGCGGGAGCGAGGGAGGUGAAGUGCACAGACUGGGCAGAGGCGGCGGGCAGAACUGCGGGGGUGAGAGGGCGCGGUGGCUGCGGGGCGGGAGCCUCUGCUGAAAGGAGGCCUGGGUUGUCCUGUGGGUGACUGUUGGUGGAAUCUUUGGCAGCGAGUGGUUGGAAGAAUGGCGACGGGCGAGCAGAGGGGAAGGUGGUGACCCUGAGCGUCUGGCUAGGGGAGAGGAGGCUGUACUGACACUCGUCUCCUCUUACCUGGCGAGGGACAGACCGUGGUCAAGAAGGGAGCUCUCCCUGGUUGAGGCUAGUCCACCACACUCCAGCUGCUCUGACCCCUGCGAUUUCCCUACACGCGGGGCGCUUGUCUGCGGUGGUGUUUGCGCUACCCGGGGGCUGGGUUCACGCAGGCUCCUGACAGUCCUUGGCUCACCGCCCCCGACGCGGAUAUCGCCGCUAGAGACCCUUCCGCCACCCUCCUAGGGAUCUUGAGGGCCUUCCUUGUUGUUCCGACUGAAGCUCACGAACAGACAGAUGUGAGCUCUCUGUCUUUUACACGUUGAAUUUGGCUAUUGGCAAAAAAAGCCCUGACCCAGAGCUUGGGACUCCUCCCGGCCUGCACACGACUUCCCGACUCUUGCCUCCUAGCGCGGCUCUUGGCUAGCGGGCGGGCAGCCUCCACCCAGCGUAGAACCGCGGCAGCCGCAGCCCCCGCAGGCUGGCGGUCAGACACUAGCAGGAAAAGGGACACAAGGCCUGCGUGGUGGGAAAGCAUGGGAGACGUCGCUUUCCCACCAGGCGAGAAGGUCUCCCUACAGUCUUUGGACAGAAGAUGGAGGGAGGCACCCCUUCCAGGAGCAAGGCGGCUGCUCCUGAGGCCUGGCUCCGCACGGAGGCUCCUGGGUCCCGCGCGCCCUCUCCCUACCGGUUAUAGCCAGAGCUGCUUCACACAUCUCAGCCGGCUUCCUCUUCCGCCUCUGCCACCUCUUCCUCCCCAGCUCGUGGGAAAGACCUAGCCUCCUCUCCAACACUUGGAGAGGGAGUUGGAUGAACGUCUCCUAACCCCAGUAGGACAGAGAUCCUGAGGUAGGAGGGGACCCCUUGCCUUGCUGCUUCUUUUGGCACCGCUGACCCGGGCCCAGGACUCCUCGCUCCUCCUGGAAGGCCUGGGUCGUGUAGCCCACAGAGGUGGCCACGUGGGCAUCUCCCCCACUGCUCCUCAUAGAACCGGAGGCAUUAUCCUGCCGGGCCCACUCUUACCCAUGAAAGAAACUUGGGAAAUGCUCCCGGGGAAGCCGGGGAUCUGGGCGCUCGACCACUUCGGUGUGAAUCUUCCGUCCGCUCAUCCUUCCUUCGGAGGGUCUUGGGGAGAGGAGAAAUGCUCAAGGACGAUGCGCUUUGCAGCGUCUCAAGGGAAACUAGAUCUCAACGGAUACCAGAAGUCUGGAGCGUCUUCCUGGAGGAAGGCGGCCCGAGGCCUGCGGUUGCAGGGAGGCUUGCGGAGCACAGCGCCCUCUCUCAGCCUGAGCUAUCCAGUGGCUUCCAGCAUCCCAGCUGGCCGACUCCACUUCCUCUCUCUUCCUCCUACUGCGGGUCUUCUUCUUCUCUUUGGGGACCGAAUCUCGCUCUGUCGCCCAGGCUGGAGUGCAGUGGCGCGAUCUCGGCUUACUGCAACCUCCGCCUCCCGGGUUGAAGCGAUUCUCCUGCCUCAGCCUCCCGAAUAGCUGGGACUACAGGCGCGUGCCACCACGCCCGGCUAAUUUUUUGUAUUUUUAGUUGAGACGGGGUUUCACCCUGUUAGCCAGGAUGGUCUCGAUCUCCUGGCCUCUUGAUCCGCCCGCCUCGGCCUCCCAAAGUGCUGGGAUUACAGGCGUGAGCCUCCGCGCCCGGCCUACUGCGGCUCUUCUAUCCUGGUGUUCUUUGAAUGCCUAUCUUCCUUUUGUGCCACAGAACCUCUCACGCCCGCCACAGGUUGCUCAUUUCCUUGGUUGUUCUGAACUUUAAAUAAGUUAAUGUAUGUAAGAGUGCCAUAAAUGCUCAGUAAUUGACAUCUGUUAUUUUCAUCAGUAACAUCAUCUGAAUCAUCUGUAUUGUCUAUUUUUAACAACUGCAUUUUUCAUUGUCCAAAUAAAGUCACAUACAUUUGAACAUUAUAUAAUGAUUGAAUAAUAAAAUUAUUCUGCUAUUUUACAAUAAAAA
RNAcentral lists this long non-coding RNA (5502 nucleotides) under Homo sapiens (human). RNAcentral's name for it is "PREDICTED lncRNA (TCONS_00019560)". The record is from RNAcentral. Lineage: Eukaryota; Metazoa; Chordata; Mammalia; Primates; Hominidae.